AAAUUGAAGAGUUUGAUCAUGGCUCAGAUUGAACGCUGGCGGCAGGCCUAACACAUGCAAGUCGAACGGUAACAGGAAGCAGCUUGCUGUUUCGCUGACGAGUGGCGGACGGGUGAGUAAUGUCUGGGAAACUGCCUGAUGGAGGGGGAUAACUACUGGAAACGGUAGCUAAUACCGCAUAACGUCGCAAGACCAAAGAGGGGGACCUUCGGGCCUCUUGCCAUCGGAU
This 229-nucleotide ribosomal RNA is filed under the name Shigella flexneri. RNAcentral's name for it is "partial 16S ribosomal RNA". It matches the Rfam family "Bacterial small subunit ribosomal RNA", at positions 1 to 226 of the family's 1533-position model. Lineage: Bacteria; Pseudomonadati; Pseudomonadota; Gammaproteobacteria; Enterobacterales; Enterobacteriaceae. The record is from RNAcentral.